AGAGUUUGAUCAUGGCUCAGAUUGAACGCUGGCGGCAGGCCUAACACAUGCAAGUCGAGCGGUAGCACAGAGAGCUUGCUCUCGGGUGACGAGCGGCGGACGGGUGAGUAAUGUCUGGGAAACUGCCUGAUGGAGGGGGAUAACUACUGGAAACGGUAGCUAAUACCGCAUAAUGUCGCAAGACAAAGUGGGGGACCUUCGGGCCUCAUGCCAUCAGAUGUGCCCAGAUGGGAUUAGCUAGUAGGUGGGGUAACGGCUCACCUAGGCGACGAUCCCUAGCUGGUCUGAGAGGAUGACCAGCCACACUGGAAACUGAGACACGGUCCAGACUCCUACGGGAGGCAGCAGUGGGGAAUAUUGCACAAUGGGCGCAAGCCUGAUGCAGCCAUGCCGCGUGUGUGAAGAAGGCCUUCGGGUUGUAAAGCACUUUCAGCGGGGAGGAAGGCGUUAAGGUUAAUAACCUUGGCGAUUGACGUUACCCGCAGAAGAAGCACCGGCUAACUCCGUGCCAGCAGCCGCGGUAAUACGGAGGGUGCAAGCGUUAAUCGGAAUUACUGGGCGUAAAGCGCACGCAGGCGGUCUGUCAAGUCGGAUGUGAAAUCCCCGGCUCAACCUGGGAACUGCAUUCGAAACUGGCAGGCUAGAGUCUUGUAGAGGGGGGUAGAAUUCCAGGUGUAGCGGUGAAAUGCGUAGAGAUCUGGAGGAAUACCGGUGGCGAAGGCGGCCCCUGGACAAAGACUGACGCUCAGGUGCGAAAGCGUGGGGAGCAAACAGGAUUAGAUACCCUGGGUAGUCCACGCCGUAAACGAUGUCGAUUUGGAGGUUGUGCCCUUGAGGCGUGGCUUCCGGAGCUAACGCGUUAAAUCGACCGCCUGGGGGAGUACGGCCGCAAGGUUAAAACUCAAAUGAAUUGACGGGGGCCCGCACAAGCGGUGGAGCAUGUGGUUUAAUUCGAUGCAACGCGAAGAACCUUACCUGGUCUUGACAUCCACAGAACUUUCCAGAGAUGGAUUGGUGCCUUCGGGAACUGUGAGACAGGUGCUGCAUGGCUGUCGUCAGCUCGUGUUGUGAAAUGUUGGGUUAAGUCCCGCAACGAGCGCAACCCUUAUCCUUUGUUGCCAGCGGUUCGGCCGGGAACUCAAAGGAGACUGCCAGUGAUAAACUGGAGGAAGGUGGGGAUGACGUCAAGUCAUCAUGGCCCUUACGACCAGGGCUACACACGUGCUACAAUGGCAUAUACAAAGAGAAGCGACCUCGCGAGAGCAAGCGGACCUCAUAAAGUAUGUCGUAGUCCGGAUUGGAGUCUGCAACUCGACUCCAUGAAGUCGGAAUCGCUAGUAAUCGUAGAUCAGAAUGCUACGGUGAAUACGUUCCCGGGCCUUGUACACACCGCCCGUCACACCAUGGGAGUGGGUUGCAAAAGAAGUAGGUAGCUUAACCUUCGGGAGGGCGCUUACCACUUUGUGAUUCAUGACUGGGGUGAAGUCGUAACAAGGUAACCGUAGGGGAACCUGCGGUUGGAUCACCU
This 1528-nucleotide ribosomal RNA is filed under the name Klebsiella pneumoniae. RNAcentral describes it as "bacterial SSU rRNA". It matches the Rfam family "Bacterial small subunit ribosomal RNA". Lineage: Bacteria; Pseudomonadati; Pseudomonadota; Gammaproteobacteria; Enterobacterales; Enterobacteriaceae. The record is from RNAcentral.